AGGAUUCCUUCCGUAUUGAAGAAUAAUAAGAAGAUCAAGAUUAUCAUCUAUCAUCUCAUCAUCAACAAUACUUGGUCUAUACAAAUAUUUACCCUCCGACCAUUCGUUUCUACAUGAAAAUUUCAUAUUAAAAAAAAAAUUAACCAUAAAUGGCAUAUAUAUCAAAAUAAGAAUUAGAAAUGCAUCCAAGUGAUGUUGGCCCAAAAACCUGCGUAAGUAGUUUCCAUAUUCUUGAAAUCAGAAAAGAUCUAUUAUGCCUCUGGUGAACCGUAAUCGAACUUAAAGAGCUUUUGC
RNAcentral lists this long non-coding RNA (294 nucleotides) under Citrus maxima (pomelo). RNAcentral's name for it is "long non-coding RNA (CMAX_LNC001747)". Lineage: Eukaryota; Viridiplantae; Streptophyta; Magnoliopsida; Sapindales; Rutaceae. The record is from RNAcentral.